RNAcentral lists this ribosomal RNA (459 nucleotides) under Triticum aestivum (bread wheat). Its description in RNAcentral is "partial small subunit ribosomal RNA". Lineage: Eukaryota; Viridiplantae; Streptophyta; Magnoliopsida; Poales; Poaceae. The record is from RNAcentral.
AUGUCUGUGCAGCCGUGUCGACAAGAUGGAAAUACAACAUGUACUACGAGGAGGGAAGGAGGCAUGGGGUUCAGAAAUUAUGAGGCUUUCAAUCAAGCUCUCUUGGCUAAACAAGCAUGGCGAAUCCUACAGUGCCCUGAGUCUCUUUGUGCGCGUGUUCUUGGAGCCCGUUAUUUCAAAGAUGGUUCCAUCAUUAAUGCCACUUGCUCAUCUAGUGCUUCGUAUACUUUCAAAAGCAUAUUAUAUGGGAGGGACCUGUUGAGGGAAGGUCAAUUCUGGCGAAUUGGUGAUGGAUCAAAAUUUUUAGUUCAUCAUGAUAACUGGAUUCCACGCAAGGGAAGUCUAAGACCACUGGGUCAGACUUUUGUGCACGAUAUUACAAGGGUUAGCGACCUUCUAAAUGUGCAAGGGGAUGAUUGGGACCAUUGUAGGAUCGAAAGUAUGUCUAGAGGGGGGUGA